CUUGCACUUGACUGAAACCGGCAAACGGGUGAGUAACACGUAUGCAACUUACCUCCAUCUGGGGGAAUAGCUCCGGGAAACUGGAAAUAAUACCCCAUAGUAUCGGGAAUUCGCAUGAUGACCCGAUUAAAGUUCCGGCGGAUGGAGAUAGGCGUGCGUCUGAUUAGGUAGUUGGUGAGGUAACGGCUCACCAAGCCUUCGAUCAGUAGCUGAUGUGAGAGCAUGAUCAGCCACACGGGCACUGAGACACGGGCCCGACUCC
RNAcentral lists this ribosomal RNA (262 nucleotides) under uncultured bacterium. Its description in RNAcentral is "partial 16S ribosomal RNA". It matches the Rfam family "Bacterial small subunit ribosomal RNA", at positions 79 to 339 of the family's 1533-position model. The record is from RNAcentral.